GCGCCAGUGAUGUUCAACAGCAAGCAUGCCGCUCUUCCAAAGCGGUCGUCCGGGUGCAACUCCCGGUUGGUGCACCA
Molecule: transfer RNA, 77 nt
Filed under: Chthoniobacterales bacterium
Lineage: Bacteria; Pseudomonadati; Verrucomicrobiota; Spartobacteria; Chthoniobacterales
Description: tRNA-Gly
Rfam family: tRNA
About the family: Transfer RNA (tRNA) molecules are approximately 80 nucleotides in length. Their secondary structure includes four short double-helical elements and three loops (D, anti-codon, and T loops).
Source: RNAcentral